RNAcentral lists this ribosomal RNA (425 nucleotides) under uncultured bacterium. RNAcentral's name for it is "bacterial SSU rRNA". It matches the Rfam family "Bacterial small subunit ribosomal RNA", at positions 355 to 796 of the family's 1533-position model. The record is from RNAcentral.
UGGGGAAUAUUGGACAAUGGGCGCAAGCCUGAUCCAGCCAUGCCGCGUGGGUGAUGAAGGCCUUAGGGUUGUAAACCGCUUUCAGCAGGGGCGAAUUCAGACGGUACCUGCAGAAGAAGCGCCGGCUAACUACGUGCCAGCAGCCGCGGUAAUACGUAGGGCGCAAGCGUUGUCCGGAAUUAUUGGGCGUAAAGAGCUCGUAGGCGGCCUGUUGCGUCCGCUGUGAAAUCCCAGGGCUUAACCCUGGGCCUGCAGUGGAUACGGGCAGGCUAGAGGCAGGCAGGGGAGAACGGAAUUCCCGGUGUAGCGGUGAAAUGCGCAGAUAUCGGGAGGAACACCGGUGGCGAAGGCGGUUCUCUGGGCCUGUUCUGACGCUGAGGAGCGAAAGCGUGGGUAGCAAACAGGAUUAGAUACCCCGGUAGUCC